UACGUCGGCAGCAGGAGUGAAGCAGGAGGAAGACAGGGACUUUCCUUCGUUUUCUGAGAGCCUGCCUGCCUUGACGGCAUGCGUGAGUGCAGAACCAGCAGUGAAACGGCAGGUGUCCGCAGAUGCGAGAGAGAAGCGUGCAGGACACGAGGCUGCUGCCACACGAACAGAUACAGAUUUCCAGUACGACGGACAGUUGCAGGAGUCGGAAGAACAGCGUGUUCAGUCCGAGCGUUGUGCUCAGGACUUGAAGACGGCCCUGGAAAAGAAACAAAGAGAAGUGGUAGCUGUUUCCCAGCAACUGCAAGACCUUCUGGAAGCCUCCUCAGGAACUGUUAGCCUAAAACCUCUGGAAGAACGAGUG
Dromaius novaehollandiae (emu) is the source of this 364-nucleotide long non-coding RNA. RefSeq lists it as uncharacterized. The record is from RefSeq and is a predicted model, not a curated record. The transcript has 4 exons. NCBI's taxonomy places the organism in Eukaryota, Metazoa, Chordata, Aves, Casuariiformes, Dromaiidae.